This 858-nucleotide ribosomal RNA is filed under the name Amanita novinupta. RNAcentral's name for it is "eukaryotic LSU rRNA". It matches the Rfam family "Eukaryotic large subunit ribosomal RNA", at positions 86 to 931 of the family's 3401-position model. The record is from RNAcentral. Lineage: Eukaryota; Fungi; Basidiomycota; Agaricomycetes; Agaricales; Amanitaceae.
ACUGCGAGUGAAGAGGGAAAAGCUCAAAUUUAAAAUCUGGCAGUGUUUCACUGUCCGAGUUGUAACCUAGAGAAGUGUAACCUGCGCUGGACCGUGUAUAAGUCUCCUGGAAUGGAGCAUCACUGAGGGUGAGAAUCCCGUCUUUGACACGGAUCACCAGUGCAUUGUGGUUGUGCUCUCAACGAGUCGAGUUGUUUGGGAAUGCAGCUCUAAAUGGGUGGUAAAUUCCAUCUAAAGCUAAAUAUUGGCGAGAGACCGAUAGCGAACAAGUACCGUGAGGGAAAGAUGAAAAGAACUUUGGAAAGAGAGUUAAACAGUAUGUGAAAUUGUUGAAAGGGAAACGUUUGAAGUCAGUCGCGUUGGUUGGGGAUCAGCCUGACAUUGUUGGGUGUACUUCCUGGUCGACGGGCCAACAUCAGUUUUGAUUGCCAGAAAAAGGCCAAAGGAAUGUGGCACCUUUGGGUGUGUUAUAGCCCUUGGUCGUAUAUGGUGGUUGGGACUGAGGAAAGCAGCGUGCCGAAAGGCCGGGUUUCGACCACGUUCACGCUGAGGAUGUUGGCAUAAUGGCUUUAAGCGACCCGUCUUGAAACACGGACCAAGGAGUCUAACAUGCAUGCGAGUGUUUGGGUGGAAAACCCUUACGCGUAAUGAAAGUGAAAGUUGAGAUCCCUGUCGUGGGGAGCAUCGACGCCCGGACCAGAACUUUUGGGACGGAUCUGCGGUAGAGCACGUAUGUUGGGACCCGAAAGAUGGUGAACUAUGCCUGAAUAGGGUGAAGCCAGAGGAAACUCUGGUGGAGGCUCGUAGCGAUUCUGACGUGCAAAUCGAUCGUCAAAUUUGGGUAUAGGGGCGAAAGAC